This is a long non-coding RNA of Antechinus flavipes (yellow-footed antechinus), 349 nucleotides long. RefSeq lists it as uncharacterized. NCBI's taxonomy places the organism in Eukaryota, Metazoa, Chordata, Mammalia, Dasyuromorphia, Dasyuridae. The transcript has 3 exons. The record is from RefSeq and is a predicted model, not a curated record.
UCCUAUCAGAAAUUCUACCAUUCAAAUAUAGAAGAAAUUGAGUUUGCUAAUAUAUCAGAGGAAGAAGAAAAAUAUAAAUAAGUGGAUAGAAGAAAGGACUAAAGGGGCAGCUAGGUGGUGCAGAGGAUAAAGCACCCGUCCUGAAGUUGGGAGGACCUAAGUUCAAAUCUGGCCUCAGAAACUUACUGUGUCCUAGCUGUGUGACCCUGAGUAAGAUUGUGGAACUGCUAGUUAAUGAUGCUAUUGAUUCACUGACUUCUCAGAUAGUGGUGAAUGCCAAAUCUAUUUCAAAGGAAAAUGGCAGAUGCAAUUUUACAAAUGCAGGACAACAGAUAUUCAAAAUCAGCAA